This 253-nucleotide ribosomal RNA is filed under the name uncultured bacterium. RNAcentral describes it as "partial 16S ribosomal RNA". It matches the Rfam family "Bacterial small subunit ribosomal RNA", at positions 524 to 776 of the family's 1533-position model. The record is from RNAcentral.
GACGUAGGGCGCGAGCGUUGUCCGGAUUUAUUGGGCGUAAAGAGCUCGUAGGCGGCUUGUCGCGUCGUCCGUGAAAACCUGCGGCUCAACUGCAGGCUGGCGGUCGAUACGGGCAGGCUGGAGUUCGGUAGGGGAGACUGGAAUUCCUGGUGUAGCGGUGAAAUGCGCAGAUAUCAGGAGGAACACCGGUGGCGAAGGCGGCGUCCUGGACCAACACUGACACUGAUGAGCGAAAGCCAGGGGAGCAAACGGG